This 1142-nucleotide long non-coding RNA is filed under the name Felis catus (domestic cat). Its description in RNAcentral is "lncRNA (ENSFCAG00000051831.1)". Lineage: Eukaryota; Metazoa; Chordata; Mammalia; Carnivora; Felidae. The record is from RNAcentral.
ACGCCCCCGCGGCUUGCUCCCGCCCCUUGGCCCCAUGGGUGCCUCCGCUGGAACCCCUGGCCCGCCUGCGCGCGCGCCUUGCCCUGGGGCCUCCCGCCCCCUUUCCUCCGGCGUCCAAUCAGAUCGGGCGAGGGGCGCGGAGCCCAGGGAACGCGCCGUCGGCGGUCCUCAAACCCCAAGUGCUCGCCCAGCGGUUUCGCGAAGCUUUCGUUCGGCCACGAGUAACGUGACAGUAGUGGCCAGAAUCUUCAUUCUGCUUUAAGUGCUCCAGGCUCCUUCUAAGAGGCACUUGCAGAAGACUGCACAGUACCUGGAAACCUUCCAGUUUCACUUGUAGAAUUCAGCCUCACUUAUAAUUCCCUGGGUGAGUAUGAAACUUUAUCAGACUGCCAUAGAGCUGUCUGUUUAAAGGGUCUUAGUGAGCCAGGUUAGUUUAUCUACCAACUCUUCCAAUAUCAGUAGCAACUGUUGUCUUUGUUUUCCUGAAGUUUCUCGACAAGAAUUCUUUGGCAGAAUCCAUAAGUCAAGAAACUUUUUCCUGAAGGAGAAAAAUUUGGGAGUCAAGCAUUUCAUAUCUGGUAGGUCCUUGGAGUCAACCAGUUGUACUUUCAUAUCUUUCAUAAAGUCAUCUUUAAUUUAUGUAUUCCUAGUUAGGAACUCCACAUCAUCAAAUUUCCCCUAGCAUCUCUUCUUCCUGCUCAGCUAUAGUGAACUGUAAAGAAGAAUCUCCAUCCCAUUUUUUAGCCCUGAAUUCAAGUUCCUUCUUGACAUUUGCCAGUUCUGUUUUCAGUUCUGCAAUUCUCUCCAAGUCUGCUACCCUAGACCUGGGACAGAGAGUCUAUAUUGUUUUUAGAUUCUCUCUUAUUUCUUUUGUCAGUUGCCAAAUUUGAUCUUUUCCUCUUCCACCCACUGAAGGUUUGUCUCUCUAUGAUUUAGAAUUUUCCCAAACCCAGUGUAGUCUGCAUUUUUUGCAAUCUCUCCCCUAAUCCCUCCAUGGUCAGAAGAGACAGCACAGGCUACAAUUUGUACAUGUAAAUUAUGUUCUCUCUUCCCAAUAGUUCCAAAAAGGAGUGACAUCAAUUAUUGAAAAGUAAACAACCAACGUUAAUAAAAUUUGUGGUAAGGUUUAAAUAAUGUGGGUG